Salmo salar (Atlantic salmon) is the source of this 73-nucleotide non-coding RNA. NCBI's taxonomy places the organism in Eukaryota, Metazoa, Chordata, Actinopteri, Salmoniformes, Salmonidae. The record is from Rfam.
GCCCCAGUGGCCUAAUGGAUAAGGCACUGGCCUCCUAAACCAGGGAUUGUGGGUUCAAGUCCCAUCUGGGGUG